GACCAACCUCGCCCCAUGCUCCAGAAUAGCUCUUGGAAACGGGUGGUAAUGCUGGAUGCUCCAACUUGACGCAUGUCUUGUUGGGAAGUGUUUAGUGGCAUGGGAUGGGGUCGCGUCCUAUCAGCUUGUAGGCGGGGGUAAUGGCCCACCUAGGCUUCGACGGGUAGCCGGCCCUGAGAGGGCGGACGGCCACAUUGGGACUGAGAUACGGCCCAGACUCCUACGGGAGGCAGCAGUU
Molecule: ribosomal RNA, 238 nt
Filed under: uncultured Gardnerella sp.
Lineage: Bacteria; Bacillati; Actinomycetota; Actinomycetes; Bifidobacteriales; Bifidobacteriaceae
Description: partial 16S ribosomal RNA
Rfam family: Bacterial small subunit ribosomal RNA
Source: RNAcentral